GCGGGUUAGAGCGCUUCCUUGCCAUGGAAGAGGCCAGGAGUUAGAGUCUCCUAACCCGCA
This 60-nucleotide transfer RNA is filed under the name Caudoviricetes sp. RNAcentral's name for it is "tRNA-Ser". It matches the Rfam family "tRNA". Rfam says of the family: Transfer RNA (tRNA) molecules are approximately 80 nucleotides in length. Their secondary structure includes four short double-helical elements and three loops (D, anti-codon, and T loops). Further hydrogen bonds mediate the characteristic L-shaped molecular structure. tRNAs have two regions of fundamental functional importance: the anti-codon, which is responsible for specific mRNA codon recognition, and the 3' end, to which the tRNAs corresponding amino acid is attached (by aminoacyl-tRNA synthetases). tRNAs cope with the degeneracy of the genetic code in two manners: having more than one tRNA (with a specific anti-codon) for a particular amino acid; and 'wobble' base-pairing, i.e. permitting non-standard base-pairing at the 3rd anti-codon position. Lineage: Duplodnaviria; Heunggongvirae; Uroviricota; Caudoviricetes. The record is from RNAcentral.